Long non-coding RNA from Athalia rosae (coleseed sawfly), 409 nucleotides. RefSeq lists it as uncharacterized. The record is from RefSeq and is a predicted model, not a curated record. Lineage: Eukaryota; Metazoa; Arthropoda; Insecta; Hymenoptera; Athaliidae. The transcript is spliced from 3 exons.
AUUUGCAAACAAUUUGCCAGUAAAACUUCAAAUCCUCUGCUAUGGCAAACAUCUGUUAAUCCAGAACUCCGGUCACAUCCCAUCUGCAUUAUAAAUCAGAGGAUUAAUUUAUUGAGCUUUUGGUCUAAAAGACAACAUGAGACUGCUGCGAACUAUGACGAGCCAAUGAAGCUCGUUACUUUGGGCCAGGGCUUAUGCCGUGUUUCACUGAAAUGAUCCGAUAUUUCUUCGUAAACCUUGAACAUAACCGAUGACGAGAAACAUGAGUUUGCUUGAAAACUACAAUGACAGUCUCCAGUGCGAAUCUUUCGGAACGUAAAAGAUGUUCUCGUCGAUCUUUGGAGAAUGGUUGAACCGACUUUGUUCCUCACCACGUCAUUGUGCCUUGGCAUGAUCCCAUGCAUCCAAG